UCUAGUGUUUUCUCCGAUUCGAGGCCAUGUCCGACUCUGAAUUCCCGCCGCCGUUGCCGAUUCAGUUCAUAGUAUCUCGGUCGGUUUAGUUUUACAAUCUGGAGUCCAAGUUUGAGCUGAACCAUUAAUUUCAUGGCAUAGGGACCAUAAAAACCAGACUUCCCGCAGGUUCUUAUGGAUUCCGAAUUUCAUGGCAGAUCCUAAUAUUCGGCGAAAUCAACUGGAGAUCAGGUACACGUUUUAAUAGCUAAUUUUGACUGGAUCAAGUUGAUUCAGGUUGGGCUUACGCUCGCUGAUUUGGAAGGUAAUCUUCCGGAUUUGGGCACGGACAAGUUCUACAGAUGGGAGUUUAAUUUUAGGGAUUUACUAAAUUAUGUGAGGGUGUUCUUGGUGCCUACGGUUUCUCGAUGAGAUUCUUCCCCGAUGUGCACGGCGGCGUUAACAGGGUUUGAUUAUAUUCUUAAUGUGAAACGUGAAAUCGGGAGGAGUUACAUGGUCGGCUCAGAUAGCUUGGUGACCUUGAGCGCGAAGUUGAGGGUAGUAUACUUUAACAAUACUAAUCUUGAUAAGUAUGCUGGUAUUUUGUAUUGUUUAGAGCAUUUGUCUACAGCUAGAAAAUCUUCAUUUUAACAGUACAUAUCUUCCUGAGCGAUGAUUUGCACGCAUCAUUCCUAUCAAUUCCAUUUUAGUUAUGAACUCACGAUUGUCUUCCUGAGCGACAAUUUGCAUUCAGUUGGCUGAUAUUUAUUUUUUCAACCACCCAGUUGCUCCUAAAUCUGUCGAAAUAUAAAUGUUUGAAGGGUAUUGAUCAUUGAUAGGGUAAUGGAGGUUGUGAGAUUAUAGGUAAUAUCGAUGCAUUGGAUUUAAUGUGGCAUAGCUAGGGCAGUGGAGUUGUACCCUGGUCUUAUCGGUUGCAAUUUUAUUUCUCUUUUGAGUUAGAAGAUGAUAUUUUGGUUUGCUAUUAACUAUUUAACUCUUCUAGUCUCCUUAGUCAUUCGUUCCUUCAUUGUAUUAUUCAAGAUAACAAAUAUUGAAUGUGCACAAAUAUCUUUUAAGGCGGAAAUGUAAAGAAGGUUAAAUUACAAAUUUUGUCCCUAUUGGAGAAAGUUAGAAUUCAUCCAAAACCAUAGGGACCAAAUUUGUACUUAUAACGUUUAAAGAAUUUGGUUUUAGAUGAAAGUUGUAGCUGUUGGGUUAUAAACAUUGGAUCUGGUGCACUGCUAGUAGAAAAAAGGAGAAUAAAACAGGGGAGUUUUCCAUAGUAUGUUUGUUACAAUCCCUUAGCAUGUUCUUAAUGUUUCUAGCAUCUUUUACGUUGAAGAUUUAAAUUGUACCCCAUAGAGACUAAUGUAACCUUUGGCGUAAAGUAUCUGCAAUCAGACAUGGUGACAAUUCUUUUGGAUUAUUACUGCAACAACCUUCUCAGAACACUAGGACCUCCUGAUUUUGUAUCGCUAAAUCUAAUUGUUUGUUUUAUCCAUUCUAGUCUAUCCUCUGAAAUCUGGAAAUUAUACGAGGGUAAAACUUCAAGGUCCGUUGAUGAUGCUCCUUUGAAUUUCAAUUCUGCAUAUCCUUGCCAUCAAAUCUUUUUUUUUCCUUGAGUCGAACAAAUGAAGGGGUUUGAGCCUUCAACUCCAAGAGAAGAAGUAAAUUCCUUUUUAACAUUUUCAUCAGCAAUAUUUUAAAAAUCAAGGGGCUGAUUUUUUACUCAAGUAAUAAGUUGAACGAGCCAAUGGAUUCUAUCAUUGAUGAUAAUUGUGAUGUUGAGAUUUGAGAACGACCGUUGGAAUCUCUGUUCUCGAAGUGACAAUAGAUGGAGGUUGAGGCUUAUGGCUUGUAAGCCUAACCCUUUUGGAAGGAGAUCUUGAUGCGAACUUUAGUUUGAAAAUGUUGGUCAUGGAUGGCAUCCAAUGCUUAGAAGAAACCUCAAUGACAGGAAACUUUGGGAUCAGCUUGUUGCAGACUUGUGAUAGAACCCAAAUGUAUUGAUAGGAUUGCUGUUAGGGUAGAAUUACAAACAUGGCUAGGGAAUUGAAGGUACAUUAGUAAUUAGUAAGGAAGUUGUUAGGGUGGUUUGUUAUAAAUAGGGUGCGGGGAAAGGGUAGACAAUUGUUUAGUUGGUCUAGGACUUGAGUGAUCUCAAGAACGAGAGGGUCCAAGUACUUGGAGGGUUAUAUUGUAUUUCCAUUAUAUUUUAUAUUUCAAAACAUUUAGGUUCUAUCAACUUUCUAGAAUUCUUGUUACCAAAAUAAAUGAUUGGAGAAUAUCAUUAGUGAAGUAAUUAAUUUUGCAUCUCUACGUUCCUCAUCAUUUUUUUAAACAUUCGGCGCAUUCAACAGUUUAAUUUUUUCUCCCGAAAUUCCUCCUUGUUCUCUCUCUAAACAUUUAUUGGGCUAUUUUGUUUGCAAUUUUUAUGAGGCAGAUAUGGACAAGUAUUAUUGUAUAUGCAUUUCAAAACACGAAGCAUAGGAACUUACUGCUGGAAAUGAUCCUGUAAAUUGAUUCUACUCUGAAAUACUGGCAACUCUGAAGUCCUUUGAGUUGAGUUCAUACAACUGUGAUUUGGGUUCGAAUUUACAAACUAGUUUUUGUGGAUCUCUGCAGGCUUAGCUUUCUGGUUAUGAAAGUCUACCUAAGGAUGUUGAAUGUGCCUUUUGAGGUUGACAGAUCGUUUCUGAUUUUUCAGCAUCCUUCUGGGUAGCAGAGUCAUUACGUUUUUUUGGGCUAAAAAAGUGAUAGGCCCCAAAUUACUGGGGCGUAUGAUCGUAAGCGUUGUGAGGAAGGAGGGAACUGUAUGAGGGGUUGUUUUCAUGUAGGUGUGGAGCCCAAAGGGUUUAUUAGUGCGUGUUGAGGCCUUGAGGGAGAAUGGAAAUUAAUAGGCGAGAUUUGGGUAGACCCGAAUGACAUCUUCCUCACCUCUAUUUUUCUUAAAAGAAACAGUUUUGGUUAAACUACCAUUUUGUACCUUGGGUUUUAUUCUAUUUUAGCUUCUUUACUUUUAACUGACCAAAUUUAGCAUAUGUACUUUUGAUAAAUCCUAAAACUAGUUCAUGCUAUUAGUUUGGUCAACUUUUUUUUAUAAGAAAAACAGUCUCAUUUGGCUUUCUAUCUAUAAAUUUUGGAAACAUAUUCACAUUGUGUUUCUCUUGCAUAAAAGUUAUUAUUAUUAUUAUUAUUAUUUAACCAAUUUCAAUAAAAAUUAUCUUCAUGUAUUUAAUUGUUGGAGCUUCUUGUUCAAUCGCUCUGGUUGUUCAACCUAUGCCUAGAGGAUGGCCUUCUGCAUCGAAGCAUCCGUCAUAAUUAGUGCCAGUUGGAGAAAUUUUUGGUGUCCUACUAAGUAUAUUCCCUUGUGCUGGUUUUUAUGCCUCGAGUUCUUUUAUUCCUCUCUUGUAAUUAUAGUAGAGUUAUGUUCCAACAGAAAGAAAAGAAUGAUUGUGAUUUUUCAUCUCAUGUCCAGAUGAGUUUAGUCCGGUUGUUCUCUGAUUGUUAUUUGGAUUGUGGAUGGUAAAUUUUCUACGUUACUGCUAGUUUAUGAUCGAUCGGGCUUCAGUUUAAUUGUGUUUUAUGACUGAUUCUUUUGUGCCAGUUUUCAGAUUCUUAUACGUGGAUGAUAUCAAUGAAUGAAGGUGUUAUUUUCUACGGCCUUUCGUCAUCACGCUUGUUACUUCACAGGUUCCUUCCUUUGUCCCUUUGCUCCUAUAUUUGAUAUUAAGGAUAAUUGGUUUUUUAAUUUUUGCUACACGUAGCAAAAUAGUAAUUGAUUUCAAUAUUUUCUAUCAUAUGAAUUUGAUUUAAGUAAACGUCAUUUAGAAAUACUAGUCCAAUUAGAGAGAGAUUGGUACCAUUCUUGGGCGAGUUGGGAUUCGAAUCCCUGUGGUUUCAUCUCCCUUUUUCUUUUGAGUGUUGUAAUCUAAGCCUAGUUUAUAUUAAGACAACAUAAUAUAAUU
Molecule: long non-coding RNA, 3947 nt
Organism: Cucurbita maxima (winter squash)
Lineage: Eukaryota; Viridiplantae; Streptophyta; Magnoliopsida; Cucurbitales; Cucurbitaceae
Exons: 3
Source: RefSeq, a predicted model, not a curated record